This 73-nucleotide transfer RNA is filed under the name Stegodyphus mimosarum. RNAcentral's name for it is "tRNA-Lys for anticodon UUU". It matches the Rfam family "tRNA". From Rfam's summary of the family: Transfer RNA (tRNA) molecules are approximately 80 nucleotides in length. Their secondary structure includes four short double-helical elements and three loops (D, anti-codon, and T loops). The record is from Rfam by way of RNAcentral. Lineage: Eukaryota; Metazoa; Arthropoda; Arachnida; Araneae; Eresidae.
GCCUUCGUAGUGUAAUGGUCAGCACGCUCGACGUUUAAUCCAGAAGUCCGUGGUUCGAUUCCAUGCGAAGGCU